UCCGGUUCAUCACCGGCAGUCUCCUUAGAGUCCCCAACUAAAUGAUGGCAACUAAGGACAAGGGUUGCGCUCGUUACGGGACUUAACCCAACAUCUCACAACACGAGCUGACGACAGCCAUGCAGCACCUGUCUCUGCGUUCCUUGCGGCACUUCGACCUCUCGGCCAAAUUCGCAGGAUGUCAAGGGUAGGUAAGGUUCUUCGCGUUGCAUCGAAUUAAACCACAUGCUCCACCGCUUGUGCGGGCCCCCGUCAAUUCUUUUGAGUUUCAGCCUUGCGACUGUACUUCCCAGGCGGAGAACUUAUCGCGUUAGCUUCGAUACUGAGAGGUUCCCCUCCCAACAUCUAGUUCUCAUCGUUUACGGCGUGGACUAC
Molecule: unclassified non-coding RNA, 375 nt
Filed under: uncultured Gammaproteobacteria bacterium
Lineage: Bacteria; Pseudomonadati; Pseudomonadota; Gammaproteobacteria
Description: contains 16S-23S intergenic spacer region
Source: RNAcentral